GGUGUGGGGUGGCAGGUGUGGGUGUGUGCAGGGGCUGGUGUGUUGUGGUGUCGGGGUGUCAGGGUUGGUGUAAAUACAGUCAUCUCUUGUUAGGCAUGGUUUAAAUUUUCAUGGUUUCAAGUUUCCAUGGGUUCAGUUUCCAUGCUUUAGUUUCCCCGGUUCAGUUUUCCCGGUUCCAGUUUCCACAGUUUUCAGUUUCCACAGGUUCAGUUUCCCUGGUUCAGUUUUCCCGGUUCCAGUUUCCACAGUUUUCAGUUUCCACAGGUUCAGUUUUCCCGGUUCCAGUUUCCACAGUUUUCAGUUUCCACAGGUUCAGUUUCCCUGGUUCCAGUUUCAAGGUUUCAGUUUCCCCGGUUAUAGUUUCAAGGUUUCAGUUUCCAUGGUUUCAGUUUCAAGGUUUCAAUUUUCAUGGUUUCAAGUUUUCAAGGUUUCAGUUUCCACAGUUAUAGUUUCCACAGUUUCAGUUUCCACGGUUUCAGAAAUUCAAGCAACAGCAGCAGCAGUGAGAGGCAGUUUACUUGCGCUCAUCACUUUUCCCUUUAUCAUAUUUAGUCCAUUGAUAAGUUAAAUGUUUGGGAGCCGCCGUGGUACAGUGGCACCGCGCGCUGCUUUGGGGGCCAAGUGGUCAUCAGGCGCACGGGUUCGAAUCCUGGCUACGGUCCGAGGGUAGGAAGGGCAUCCACUCGGGGUAACGGUUCCCAAAUGCCAAAUCCAAAAGUCCUUCAUCAGGAGGCACCGUCUCAGCCCUAACAGACUAGGGA
This is a long non-coding RNA of Scylla paramamosain (green mud crab), 761 nucleotides long. RefSeq lists it as uncharacterized. NCBI's taxonomy places the organism in Eukaryota, Metazoa, Arthropoda, Malacostraca, Decapoda, Portunidae. The record is from RefSeq and is a predicted model, not a curated record. The transcript has 2 exons.